Molecule: unclassified non-coding RNA, 418 nt
Filed under: soil metagenome
Description: partial contains 5.8S ribosomal RNA, internal transcribed spacer 2, and large subunit ribosomal RNA
Rfam family: 5.8S ribosomal RNA (bases 1-120)
Source: RNAcentral
GAUGAAGAACGUAGCGAAAUGCGAUAAGUAAUGUGAAUUGCAGAAUUCAGUGAAUCAUCGAAUCUUUGAACGCAUCUUGCGCUCCUUGGUAUUCCUUGGAGCAUGCCUGUUUGAGUAUCAUGAGCAAAUCUCAAAGUCAAUUCCUUUUGUUGAUUCAAUUGGUUUUGCUUUGGACUUGGAGGCCUUGCAGAUUUCACAGUCUGCUCCUCUUAAAUGCAUUAGCUGGAUCUCAGUAAUUAUGCUUGGUUCCACUCGGCGUGAUAAGUAUCACUCGCUGAGGACACUGUUAAAAAGGUGGCCAGGAAAAUACUGAUUGAACCGCUUCUAACGGUCUAUUAAGUUAGACAAUUACCCUUAAGUUUGAUCUCGAAUCAGGUAGGACUACCCGCUGAACUUAAGCAUAUCAAUAAGCGGAGGA